CGCACAAUAUAAUAUUACUGCUGCGCCCUGGCUAAGGUUGGCUAGAGGUAGAUUAUUGCACACAACUUGACCAGUCGUCUUAGACCGGGAAGAAGGACACAGUCGAUUAGACCCUACUGUCGGUAUCUGAAACUCGAGUAGGCCGAAGAUGAAGGGAUCGCUGACGAUCUUGCUCCUGUUGGUCACCAUGGUGGCAGUGAAUGACGCUGAGGAAUGCCUGUGCCUGCCACUGUGUCAUUGCAUCAACCGUCAGCACGCCGUCCGCGCCUUAGCAGAGCGCAAGGCUCGAGACCUGACAGCAGAUGUUCCCCAGGUGAAUUAUGAGGCAGAGGAGAGGGCCGAAAAUGAUGGGAUCCUCGCCAAGCUCGGGAUAAAACCCUAAUCCACACCGACUUCGGCCUCUAAAUGCGAUUGCCGUGUGAGGGGCCUUGUUUGCUGUGACGACUGAAGGAUGACAUCAUCCACUGCUAUGCAUGCUUCAUGACGUACCCAAGCUCAGGCAUGCAUCGUUGCCAGGCCCCCUUUGUGCUUUAAGCAGUAGCAGUUUGAAGUUUGUAACUCAAUUAGCUUCGGCUUGCUUGACAGUUGUCAUUUUAAAAAUCUUUACCCCAGAUUUCGCAACCAUAUAGCAUUUAAUUGAUUUGAUGCACACGUCGAAAAUCCUUAAUAAAGCUUUCAAUGAGAUCUGUGAGCGGAUAAAAAUAUUAAGAGAUUUGAUACUUAAAACCGUUUUCCGGGAUUUUAAAGCAGGUUGUUUUUUUAGCUAGUGAGAAACUGCCAGAUGAGGACAACAACAGACCUAGAGAGCAGUACGACGUAGUAUGCUGUGUUUUCUGAGCCGAUCAAGAAUUUUGUAUUUCUAUAUAUACGCGCCCUAUAAACACACUAGUAGUCAGAAACGCCGUUCAACACUCGUAGGACUUGUAGAUCUGAACAAGUUUGGCUGCCUAACUGAUACCUCAAUACUAUGUGUAAAGCUUUACUUAUCGAUGGCCAACAGGCUAUGAUAGAAAACCAGUACUAUCGGUUUACAACACAUUUGCGAAGCGCCAGUCACUGUAGCAAUGUUUUGUUUUGUUUUUAAAUCUUUCUGAUAAUCUGUACGGUUUCACCUGGCUCGAUGUGAUCCAGUUAAAAGUCAUGCAAAAUUGGCUGUUAAUCUUGGUAAUUCUCUUGUCUUUAUUGCUGUGUGUUACAAAAGGAAUAAACCUGCAUUUUGUGCAC
This is a long non-coding RNA of Branchiostoma belcheri (Belcher's lancelet), 1224 nucleotides long. RefSeq lists it as uncharacterized. The transcript has 3 exons. NCBI's taxonomy places the organism in Eukaryota, Metazoa, Chordata, Leptocardii, Amphioxiformes, Branchiostomatidae. The record is from RefSeq and is a predicted model, not a curated record.